Molecule: non-coding RNA, 96 nt
Organism: Podarcis lilfordi (Lilford's wall lizard)
Lineage: Eukaryota; Metazoa; Chordata; Lepidosauria; Squamata; Lacertidae
Source: the annotation of a GenBank genome assembly
UCUCCAGCUGUUUUUGGACUACAAUUUCCAUCAUCCCUGACCACUGGUCUUGCUAGCUAGGGGUGAUGGGAGUUGUAGUCCAAAAACAGCUGGGGA